GAUGAACGCUAGCUACAGGCUUAACACAUGCAAGUCGCAGGGUAACAUGAGGAAAGCUUGCUUUCCUUGAUGACGACUGGCGCACGGGUGAGUAACGCGUAUCCAACCUUCCCAUAACUACGGGAUAACCCGUUGAAAGACGGCCUAAUACCGUAUGACAUCGUUUGCUGACAUCAAAUAACGAUUAAAGGUUUAGCGGUUAUGGAUGGGGAUGCGUCUGAUUAGCUUGUUGGCGGGGUAACGGCCCACCAAGGCGACGAUCAGUAGGGGUUCUGAGAGGAAGGUCCCCCACAUUGGAACUGAGACACGGUCCAAACUCCUACGGGAGGCAGCAGUGAGGAAUAUUGGUCAAUGGGCGAGAGCCUGAACCAGCCAAGUAGCGUGCAGGAUGACGGCCCUAUGGGUUGUAAACUGCUUUUAUGUGGGGAUAAAGUGCGUGACGUGUCAUGCAUUGCAGGUACCACAUGAAUAAGGACCGGCUAAUUCCGUGCCAGCCGCCGCGGUAAAAGGG
RNAcentral lists this ribosomal RNA (511 nucleotides) under uncultured Bacteroidales bacterium. RNAcentral describes it as "bacterial SSU rRNA". It matches the Rfam family "Bacterial small subunit ribosomal RNA", at positions 28 to 528 of the family's 1533-position model. Lineage: Bacteria; Pseudomonadati; Bacteroidota; Bacteroidia; Bacteroidales. The record is from RNAcentral.